GACGAACGCUGGCGGCGUGCUUAACACAUGCAAGUCGAACGAAGUGGCGAACGGGUGAGUAACGCGUAAUCAACCUGCCCUUCAGAGGGGGACAACAGUUGGAAACGACUGCUAAUACCGCAUACUUAAGGAGUGGUUGGCGUCUGAUUAGCUAGGUGGGGGGGUGACGGCCCACCAAGGCGAAGGUCAGUAGGCGGUCGUGGGGGGUGAACGUCCCACUUGGGAAUGAGGACAGGCCCAGGCUCCUACGGGAGGCAGCAGGUGGGAAUCUUCCGCAAUGGAGGAAAGGCUGACGGAGCAACGCCGCGUGGGUGAUGGCGGCCUUCGGGUUGUAAAGCUCUGUUAAUCGGGGCGCGGUACCGGAAUAGAAAGCCACGGCUAACUACGUGCCAGCAGCCGCGGUAAUAC
RNAcentral lists this ribosomal RNA (408 nucleotides) under uncultured bacterium. Its description in RNAcentral is "partial 16S ribosomal RNA". It matches the Rfam family "Bacterial small subunit ribosomal RNA", at positions 28 to 526 of the family's 1533-position model. The record is from RNAcentral.